Molecule: ribosomal RNA, 253 nt
Filed under: uncultured bacterium
Lineage: Bacteria
Description: partial 16S ribosomal RNA
Rfam family: Bacterial small subunit ribosomal RNA
Source: RNAcentral
UACGGAGGGUGCAAGCGUUAUUCGGAUUUAUUGGGCGUAAAGGGCGUGUAGGUGGUCUGAUAAGUCAGGUGUGAAAGCCCCUGGCUCAACCAGGGAAGUGCACUUGAAACUAUCAGACUUGAGUACGGGAGGGGGAAAUGGAAUUCCUGGUGUAGAGGUGAAAUUCGUAGAUAUCAGGAGGAAUACCGGUGGCGAAGGCGAUUUCCUGGACCGAUACUGACACUGAGACGCGAAAGCGUGGGGAGCAAACAGG